AUUGAACGCUGGCGGCAUGCUUUACACAUGCAAGUCGAACGGUAACAGGUUAAGCUGACGAGUGGCGAACGGGUGAGUAAUGCAUCGGAACGUGCCCGGUCGUGGGGGAUAACGCAGCGAAAGCUGCGCUAAUACCGCAUACGAUCUGAGGAUGAAAGCGGGGGACCGUAAGGCCUCGCGCGAUCGGAGCGGCCGGUGUCAGAUUAGGUAGUUGGUGGGGUAAAGGCCCACCAAGCCGACGAUCUGUAGCUGGUCUGAGAGGACGAACAGCCACACGGGGACUGAGACACGGCCCAGACUCCUACGGGAGGGAGCAGUGGGGAAUUUUGGACAAUGGGCGAAAGCCUGAUCCAGCAAUGCCGCGUGCAGGAAGAAGGCCUUCGGGUUGUAAACUGCUUUUGUACGGAGCGAAAAGGUCCUUUCUAAUACAAGGGGCUCAUGACGGUACCGUAAGAAUAAGCACCGGCUAACUACGUGCCAGCCGCCGCGGUAA
RNAcentral lists this ribosomal RNA (493 nucleotides) under uncultured bacterium. RNAcentral describes it as "partial 16S ribosomal RNA". It matches the Rfam family "Bacterial small subunit ribosomal RNA", at positions 29 to 523 of the family's 1533-position model. The record is from RNAcentral.